AUACAGAGGGUGCGAGCGUUAAUCGGAAUUACUGGGCGUAAAGCGCGCGUAGGCGGAUAUUUAAGUCUCAUGUGAAAGCCCUGGGCUCAACCUGGGAACUGCAUGGGAUACUGGGUAUCUAGAAUACAGUAGAGGGUAGUGGAAUUUCAGGUGUAGCGGUGAAAUGCGUAGAGAUCUGAAGGAACAUCAGUGGCGAAGGCGACUACCUGGACUGAUAUUGACGCUGAGGUGCGAAAGCGUGGGUAGCAAACGGGAUUAGAUACCCUAGUAGUCC
Molecule: ribosomal RNA, 274 nt
Filed under: uncultured bacterium
Lineage: Bacteria
Description: partial 16S ribosomal RNA
Rfam family: Bacterial small subunit ribosomal RNA
Source: RNAcentral